Molecule: long non-coding RNA, 1342 nt
Organism: Apodemus sylvaticus (European woodmouse)
Lineage: Eukaryota; Metazoa; Chordata; Mammalia; Rodentia; Muridae
Exons: 2
Source: RefSeq, a predicted model, not a curated record
AAAGGAAAGAAAUGAGAAUCGAGCCAGGGCAACGGUGGUAUGCAUGCCUUUAAUCCCAGAACUCUGGAGGCAAAUGCAGACAGAUCUCUGAGUUUGAGGUCAGCCUGGUCUGCAGAGUGAGUUCCAGGACAGCCAGAGCUACACAGAGACACCCUGUGUAAAAAUAAAUAAAAGCUAAAUCUAUCUAGUCCAGCACGAUGGCUCACCAAGUGAAACACACUGGCUGGUAAGCCUGACAACCUGAGUCUGUCCGUGGGGCUUGCAUGGUGGACAGAGAAAACUGAUUCCGUGAAAACUGCCCUAUCAUCUCUACAUAUAUGUGCACACACUCACACAAACACACACAUAAAAUGUAAUAAAAACACAUCUGUUUUCCAAUAAAUAAAUAAGAGUCUCGCUGUGUGUGCUAUAUUUUUUUCCAAUUCUCUUUCACUAUAACUAAACAGAGAACAUCCAGAUUGCUGUCUGCUCCUACAGUCAGCCUGUCAUGAUACCCUGCCAUGGUCUCUCUGCAAGUUCCUCUGUGCAUUCAUACAAGACCAUGUAAACAGUGGAAAUAACCUGUUAUCGUUACAAAAAUAGUUUUGGUCUUGUGACCCAGCUCACAUUCUUAAGAACCAACGUCCUCGAGAAGUCCAAGAGCCUGUGUAACAUGCCCCUUGUAGUAUCAUUUGCUAUGGGAAAGUGGAGCCAGCACACCUGUCCAUCAGCAAGGGACUUUCAGCUUAGUGGGAGCCACACGAACCGUCCAUUCAGUCACUUAGCACAGGUGAACACACGAUGCUCAAUGUCAGAAGAGGGUCCUGGAUUCCCUGGAACUGUAGUCAUGGAUGACUGUAAGCUACCCAGCGCAGUGCUAAGAAUCAGACUUGGUUCUCUGUAGGAGCAGCAAGUGCUUUAACCUGCUGGGCUGUCUCUCUGGCCCUGGGAAACAAUGAGUUGAUUGAGCUUGCUUACAGGGUGUGAGUGAGGGCAGCAGUGGAGAAUCCUCACCGGCCAUGGGCCACAGCUUCUCCGUACACAUGGACGAAGCUCUUCUUCAGUGUACUCCCUCCCAUCCACAGCCUAUACACUCCACCCGAGAUGCCGAGGCCAUGAGCGAUCACAGCAGGACUGUGUAGACUGGGCUAGAAGCAGCAGGACUCUCAGGCGGACUCAACGAUCAACAAACCCAGAUCCUCAAAGUCUCUUGCAAACUGGCCCAGCUGAGCUAAGAAACAUGGUGGCCAUUUUGCUCAGAGAAUCGCUCUCUAGCAAGUACCCCCCUCCCCAUCACACAAUCUUGACUUGACUGCUAUAAUGAGCUGAACCUUCAAACUACCAAAAUAAAUCCUUUUUUUUU